UCCGGCUUGGCGCCGGCAGUCUCCCUAGAGUCCCCACCAUUACGUGCUGGCAACUAAGAUCAAGGGUUGCGCUCGUUGCGGGACUUAACCCAACAUCUCACGACACGAGCUGACGACAACCAUGCACCACCUGUCACUCUGUCCCCCGAAGGGAGGGUGUGUUUCCACACCUGUCCGGUGCAUGUCAAACCUGGGUAAGGUUCUUCGCGUUGCAUCGAAUUAAACCACAUGCUCCACCGCUUGUGCGGGCCCCCGUCAAUUCCUUUGAGUUUUAAUCUUGCGACCGUACUCCCCAGGCGGGAUGCUUAAAGCGUUAGCGGCGCCACCGAAGAGCAAGCUCCCCGACGGCUAGCAUCCAUCGUUUACGGCGUGGACUAC
RNAcentral lists this unclassified non-coding RNA (378 nucleotides) under uncultured bacterium. Its description in RNAcentral is "contains 16S-23S intergenic spacer region". The record is from RNAcentral.